Callithrix jacchus (white-tufted-ear marmoset) is the source of this 61-nucleotide small nuclear RNA. Its record names the gene U7. It matches the Rfam family "U7 small nuclear RNA". From Rfam's summary of the family: Animal histone pre-mRNAs are spliced by a different mechanism than nuclear pre-mRNAs and self-splicing introns. This processing involves the U7 snRNP, which contains only one RNA species: U7. The 5' end of U7 RNA is thought to base-pair to a conserved spacer element downstream of the cleavage site in histone pre-mRNA. The record is from Ensembl. NCBI's taxonomy places the organism in Eukaryota, Metazoa, Chordata, Mammalia, Primates, Cebidae.
CAGUGUUACAGGUCUUUUGGAAUUUGUCCAGCAGGCUUUCUGGUUUUUACCAGAAGCCUCC